Long non-coding RNA from Chroicocephalus ridibundus (black-headed gull), 2160 nucleotides. RefSeq lists it as uncharacterized. The transcript has 4 exons. The record is from RefSeq and is a predicted model, not a curated record. Lineage: Eukaryota; Metazoa; Chordata; Aves; Charadriiformes; Laridae.
GUGAACUUCAGAUCUUUGGAGCGUGCAAAGCAACAAGGCAUCGGGGCAGCGGAGUGACACAGGCAGCAAUAUCCUUCAGGAGAGUGUUUCCCUCUUACGAGGCUGUUGGCUGGAUUUGGCAUCCCAGCAGCGGAGGGCAGGAGUGGAAGACUGCGCUUUCCUUCCUCCGUGGCUCAGUUCCCAGAGUGGGAAGAUGGAUAUGUGCCAUGGGUGAUACUUAAGGGACCAGGUGACAAGAUCUAUGAAGAUGGGGGUGUCUGAGGUUUCCCUGGAGUCACCGAGUGCUAUGAAGAAGAUGAGAAUCGUCUUGGAGGUCACAGCUGCUCUGUAACCAGCUCACCUGCCAGAAGCCAGCACUCCCGGCUCUGCAGCCCGUGAUAAGUAACGAAACCCUGGGCAGGUAGAGGAGGACUUGGGGAAACUUCUUCAAAGCUGCCCCGUGAGACAGCAAGGACAGAGCAAUGCCGGACCUAAGCCACUGCCAGCGCCUGGACACUCUCCUGCCAGUGGUCUCACGAGCAGGCUCUGCAAAAACCGAUGCCACGGGGUCCUCUCUGAGCCCCAUCCCAAAAACCCCCUCCAAAACACAAAGGCAAAAGAGUUGUGAGCUCUUCGCUUGUCGGCAAGGCACAGGAGCACAAAGAAAUUAUUUACUGUGAAUGAAACUUUGCCCCCUGACUAAUAGUUGAGGAGGUAAGAGGGGCCCUGCUCUGGAGUGGCUUGUCCCGUGCCACAGAGAGAAUCUUGUGGGAUGAAAUGAGAAGAACAAGACCAAUAUGUCACCAAACUGCCAUGAGGCCGGAGCCCUUCAAAUGACUUCAGGCAAGACCUGACGAUGUGACAUCAGCCUUGUCACCUGCUUAGUCGGAGACAAAGCAGGUGGAGGUAAGACCAAGGUCAUCAUUUAUCUAACCAAGGAAACUGCUAAGCUGAGCUACACAAACAUCUAACCCCCUCUAUCUUCCUGCCAGCCUUUGAUAGGCAAAUCUACCAGCUGAGGCUAAUGUGUCAGUGGAGAGGAAGAACACUGUUAUCUUCUUAUCAGCAGAUAAGAUGACAACCACAAAUACCUUGGCCUGAAAGACUCCUCUGCUAUCGCCAGGGGUGAACAUCAACGUGCUUCACAAAUAAUCUAAUUUAGGUGGAUAACAGAGGACUCCAAGGUGGGAGGUAAAACUCACAGCUCUGCUCAGUUAGAGAAGGACAGAAAUUUCUUAGAGGAAUACAACACUGGUCCAGCAAAAACAUACACCUGUGUUUUGUCUGCUAGCACUUCUGAUGCGAUCGAGCCAGGGAGUGAAUAGGUCAGCAAGCAGGUUCCUAUGCAACAGAUACAUUAAUCGUUAAUGGAGUGUUAGUAUUUAAAGUCCCCAAAUCUUCCUCUAACAUGCAAAACAGUCUCUCUUGCCAUGGACUGUUUGUUUCACCGAGUAAUCCACUCAUCCUCUGUUAUAAUCACAGCGGGUAUAACUUCCGCAGGGACUUUUCUGUGUCAACAUGUUUUGGACUGUGAUGUCUUUGAGACAGAGAAUUUUCUUUUUUUUUCCUGUGUUGUGUAUCUCCAGGUAAGUUGGCGGGCUUUUAGAAAUGCCAUGUAAUGUGUAGCUGCAGUCAGUCACUCCUCCAUCCUUCUCUCUCCCUGGAGUAUUCAGUGUCCUUGUGCCUCUCCCAGACACAUUUAAAAGAACAAUUUUUCUUGUGACAAGCAAGGCAAGGAGUGUGAGUUUGUGUCUGACAGGUUCAGGGAGAAGCUCGCAAUGAGGCAAUUAGACAAGGAAAGUGCUGAUUAGAAGCACCGUCACCCAUACCAAGGAAAGAAACAAAUUUUAAGUAGCAGCAGGAAAAGGGAGGGGGGGAGAAAAAAAAAAAAAAGAUAAACCGAAACAUUUGAUAAAGCAGCAGGUUGUAAUAAAAAGUUUUGAGACUGACAAGGUCUGAUAGCAGCCUCGAGGGUUGCUGAAAACUUCUCUGGAGGUAGCCGGGCCUGGUUAUAUCUGGAGGCAGGAGGCUGCCCUUGAUGGGUUCCUCCAGUUUAACAGCUUUUCAUUCCCACGCUGGGCUUGCCAGUCACCAGCUCCUUGGAGAGGUCCCCUCUGCAAUCCAGACCAAGCUUACUGCUGUAGACCUGUCCAUCCCUCCCUCUGGCAGGAGCACGGCCAC